CCAGACUCACACUGUGCCCCCAGACUCACACUGUGCCCCCAGACUCACACUGUGCCCCCAGACUCACACUGUGCCCCAGGGGGGUGCCCCCAGACUCACUGUGCCCCAGGGAGGUGCCCCCAGACUCACACUGUGCCCCCAGACUCACACUGUGCCCCCAGACUCACACUGUGCCCCCAGACUCACACUGUGCCCCCAGACUCACACUGUGCCCCCAGACUCACACUGUGCCCCCAGACAGAGUCUGGGCACAGAGUCUGGGGGGGCUCUCACUGGCUUAGGGCUUGUUGGGGAGACUAGGGGCCCUUCUGUGUAACAAAGGGAACUGUGCCCCCCCCAUGCCAGACAGUGUGAGGAGGGACACAGUGCCCCCAUGUGUGGAACUGGGCAACAAUGGGAAGUGACUGGGGGGGACUGGUACAGUUUCUAUUGGCUCCGCACAGACAGAGGGACAGACUCUCUGUAACACUCAGAUCUGAUACAGUAACAAAGGGAGAUCAGCAUCGGGCGGUGGGGCAGUUAGGGGGGUAGAGUAACUAGCUACAGGCUGGGGCAGUCAGUGUGUGGGGCAGUUGGUUGGGGUACAGUGACCGAUACAGACUGGGGCAGUUGGCUUGUGUACAGUAACAUUAGAUACAGGCUGGGGCAGUUGGUGGGGGGUACAGUAACAUUAGAUACAGGCUGGGGCAGUUGGUGGGGGGUACAGUAACAUUAGAUACAGGCUGGGGCAGUUGGUUGGGGUACAGUAACAUUAGAUACAGGCUGGGGCAGUUGGUUGGGGUACAGUAACAUUAGAUACAGGCUGGGGCAGUUGGUUGGGGUACAGUAACAUUAGAUACAGGCUGGGGCAGUUGGUUGGGGUACAGUAACAUUAGAUACAGGCUGGGGCAGUUGGUUGGGGUACAGUAACAUUAGAUACAGGCUGGGGCAGUUGUUCUGGGGUACAGUAACAUUAGAUACAGGCUGGGGCAGUUGGUUGGGGUACAGUAACAUUAGAUACAGGCUGGGGCAGUUGGUUGGGGGUACAGUAACAUUAGAUACAGGCUGGGGCAGUUGGUGGGGGUACAGUAACAUUAGAUACAGGCUGGGGCAGUUGGUUGGGGUACAGUAACAUUAGAUACAGGCUGGGGCAGUUGGUUGGGGUACAGUAAACAUUAGAUACAGGCUGGGGCAGUUGGCUGGUGUACAAUAACAUUAGAUACAGGCUGGGGCAGUUGGUGGGGGUACAGUAACAUUAGAUACAGGCUGGGGCAGUUGGCUGGUGUACAGUAACAUUAGAUACAGGCUGGGGCAGGUUGGUUGGGGUACAGUAACAUUAGAUACAGGCUGGGGCAGUUGGUUGGGGUACAGUAACAUUAGAUACAGGCUGGGGCAGUUGGGUUGGGGUACAGUAACAUUAGAUACAGGCUGGGGCAGUUGGUGGGGGUACAGUAACAUUAGAUACAGGCUGGGGCAGUUGGUUGGGGUACAGUAACAUUAGAUACAGGCUGGGGCAGUUGGUGGGGGG
Long non-coding RNA from Xenopus tropicalis (tropical clawed frog), 1507 nucleotides. RefSeq lists it as uncharacterized. The transcript has 2 exons. Lineage: Eukaryota; Metazoa; Chordata; Amphibia; Anura; Pipidae. The record is from RefSeq and is a predicted model, not a curated record.